Molecule: transfer RNA, 63 nt
Filed under: Oliarus cf. filicicola HI01081
Lineage: Eukaryota; Metazoa; Arthropoda; Insecta; Hemiptera; Cixiidae
Description: tRNA-Gly
Source: RNAcentral
ACUUUCUUAGUAUAAAUAAGUAUAAUUAAUUUCCAAUUAAAAGGUUAAAAUUUUAAGAAAGUA